This 73-nucleotide transfer RNA is filed under the name Lachnospiraceae bacterium. Its description in RNAcentral is "tRNA-Lys". It matches the Rfam family "tRNA". Rfam says of the family: Transfer RNA (tRNA) molecules are approximately 80 nucleotides in length. The record is from RNAcentral. Lineage: Bacteria; Bacillati; Bacillota; Clostridia; Lachnospirales; Lachnospiraceae. RNAcentral also lists the same sequence under 1 other name.
GCACCUCUAGCUCAGCUGGUAGAGCAGUAGACUCUUAAUCUAUUUGUCCAGGGUUCGAUUCCCUGGAGGUGCA